This 105-nucleotide microRNA precursor is filed under the name Cricetulus griseus (Chinese hamster). Its description in RNAcentral is "miRNA (ENSCGRG00001002068.1)". The record is from RNAcentral. Lineage: Eukaryota; Metazoa; Chordata; Mammalia; Rodentia; Cricetidae.
UGUGGCCUUUUUGGAGGAAGUGUGUCACUGGGGACAGGCUUUGAGGUUUCAGAAGCUCAACUUAGGCCCAGUGGCUCACUCUUCCUUCCUGAUGCCUGAAGAUCC